CACGUAGGGUGCGAGCGUUGUCCGGAAUUAUUGGGCGUAAAGAGCUCGUAGGCGGUGUGUCGCGUCGGCCGUGAAAACCUGCAGCUUAACUGUGGGCUUGCGGUCGAUACGGGCAUCACUGGAGUUCGGCAGGGGAGACUGGAAUUCCUGGUGUAGCGGUGAAAUGCGCAGAUAUCAGGAGGAACACCGGUGGCGAAGGCGGGUCUCUGGGCCGAUACUGACGCUGAUGCACGAAAGCUAGGGGAGCAAACAGG
RNAcentral lists this ribosomal RNA (254 nucleotides) under uncultured bacterium. RNAcentral describes it as "partial 16S ribosomal RNA". It matches the Rfam family "Bacterial small subunit ribosomal RNA", at positions 524 to 776 of the family's 1533-position model. The record is from RNAcentral.